Molecule: unclassified non-coding RNA, 302 nt
Filed under: uncultured fungus
Lineage: Eukaryota; Fungi
Description: partial contains 5.8S ribosomal RNA, internal transcribed spacer 2, and large subunit ribosomal RNA
Source: RNAcentral
AACGCAAAUUGCGCCCAAGGCUCCGGCUAAGGGCAUGUCUGCCUCAGCGUCGGCAUAUCCCAUCGCCUACAACACAAUUCUUGUGAGCGGAUUUGGCGGUCCCGAUCUGGGUCAGCCGAAUAUCAGCGGUAGCUGCCAGGACUCGCCUGUGUGCGUGGCUAUUCAGUUCGGUAGGUGACCCCAUGGUUGCAUGCCACUGUUGGCCAUUUUGGCCUGUUGCAGCUUUACCGACAGGACACUGAGGGCCUAACGGCACUCUUUAUUUCGACCUGAGGUCAGGCAAGAUUACCCGCUGAACUUAA